GAGACCCACGCCAACAGUUGCCAGCAUGUCCUCCGGGAUGGUGGGGACACUGUUGGGACCGCCUCUGCUAAAGAGGAGGAAGGAAUGGGCAACGGUAGGUCAGCAUGCCCCGAAUUACCCGGGCUACACGCGGGCUACAAUGGUCAGGACAAUGGGUAUCGACACCGAGAGGUGAAGGCAAUCUCUUAAACCUGUCCUUAGUUCGGAUUGUGGGCUGCAACUCGCCCACAUGAAGCUGGGAUCCGUAGUAAUCGCGUCUCAAAAUGGCGCGGUGAAUAU
RNAcentral lists this ribosomal RNA (279 nucleotides) under uncultured archaeon. Its description in RNAcentral is "partial 16S rRNA". It matches the Rfam family "Archaeal small subunit ribosomal RNA", at positions 1047 to 1325 of the family's 1478-position model. The record is from RNAcentral.